Molecule: ribosomal RNA, 491 nt
Filed under: Pseudophilautus amboli
Lineage: Eukaryota; Metazoa; Chordata; Amphibia; Anura; Rhacophoridae
Description: partial large subunit ribosomal RNA
Rfam family: Bacterial large subunit ribosomal RNA
Source: RNAcentral
CGGGCCGCGGUACCCUAACCGUGCAAAGGUAGCAUAAUCCCUUGUUCUUUAAAUAAGGACUUGUAUCAACGGCAUCACGAGGGUUCUACUGUCUCCUCUCUCUAAUCGGUGAAACUGAUCUCCCUAUGAAAAAGUGGGGAUAAACUUAUAAGACGAGAAGACCCCAUGGAGCUUUAAAACCUAUAGCAACCUAGCAAACACUUCCAUUUAGCUAUAAAACUAUGCUCAAGGACUUUAGGUUGGGAGGACCACGGAGCACAAAAUAACCUCCGCAAUGAAAAGAAUAAAAUCUUUACCAAAGAGCCACAACUCCAAGAAUUAGAAAACUAACGUACAAUGACCCGAUAUCGAUCAAUGAACUAAGUUACCCUGGGGAUAACAGCGCAAUCCAUUCUGAGAGUUCAUAUCGACGAACGGGCUUACGACCUCGAUGUUGGAUCAGGGUAUCCUGGUGGUGCAGCCGCUACCGAAGGUUCGUUUGUUCAACGAUU